UCGCGAUUAGGGCGUCUUCUUAGCACAUUCCCUAUGCUGCGUCUUUUCAUCUAGCUAGGGAACAGUUGCGUUGGGUGCCGCAACAGACCCGUAGUGGUCAGAGCCCCUUUUUGUUGUGACAGGGUCUCCUUGUUGUGACAGGGUCUCCUUGUUGUGACAGCAGCUUGGAGUCUUGGCAUGCCCAAGGCUUGGUGUCGGAGCGCGUGGAGAGGCGGAAGUGAAUCUAAGGACCGGGGUCCCUCCACCUCGGCCAAGGAAGAAACCAGGCGGAUUGAAUGAAAGAGCAGGAAGGAUGGAGAUCAGACCUGUGAAAGGCUCCUGACCUUCACGAAAUGUGGGAGGCUUGAUCUGUUGUUUUCUUCUCAAUGGCCCCUGUACAAGGAAAAAACAGCACCUAUAACUGGAGACAGUAUAUAUGGAGAAGCAGAGAAUGGAGGAAGAAAAGGGAAAAGAGGAAAGGGAGCCAGGGGAAACAUUCACUUAGGAUAUGGAUGGAUUUAGUGUCAUUGAAGGAUUUGUGUCACAAGGAAAGAAGAUAAAAGGAGCUGUGAUAUCCAACUAAAAGAAAACUGAAGGACAACUGCCGACGAGUUUUUCUGGGUGGGGGGAGGACUUUCCAGAGGAGGGGGACCUUUUAUUUCCUAGUCUCAUGGAGAAUAGAGCAAGAGGCAGAAACAGUGUAAGACUCCAGUGGUAGAGAUGUAGGGUAUUUUCUAGGAAAGAUUCCUUGACUUGUUCAGGGAUUAAAACAUACAGGGAAGAAGGCAGGGUAACUUCUGCCCUGGAGAACCCUCAAUGGAGAAGCCAUUCCCAUUUGUUCAGACUAGAUGUGUUGGUUGUAGAAGGGUAGAAGAGUAAAUGUUAAGAUUCAUGAAAUCCUAGAUGAGAGGGAAGGCAAAGGAGGGAAGGGAAAACUUUGAAAGUCAUGAAGGGAAUGGUUUAGUGGAAAGAAGAUUCAAAAUCAUUUUUGAUUUUCACUGAUCCCAACCUUUUGACAGCAGGUUUAAUGAUUUCCCUCUGGCACACAGAGGCUCAGGCAGGUAUGGUGCCUGUGGAUAAUCUUCCCUAUUUCCUCCUUUUCCUCAAUUCCCAAGAACCUGAAAAUCUGUCCUCCUUCUAGCUCUGGGUCCUAGGGGGUAGGGGAUGGGGGAAAUAGAGAGGUAUUUGCAUCUAUAGAGUCUGUACCUGGAGGGGAAAGAGGCAGAGUUUCUAAGAAGCAAGUGGUAACUUCACAGACCCACCUCUGGAAUGGCCCUGUCAGUGACUCUGGUGAUUGGUUUUGACAAUUAAAUGAAUAGAGGAGCAAAGGGGUAAUGCUAGUGAUUAAAGCAAGA
Long non-coding RNA from Gracilinanus agilis (Agile Gracile Mouse Opossum), 1334 nucleotides. RefSeq lists it as uncharacterized. The transcript has 3 exons. Lineage: Eukaryota; Metazoa; Chordata; Mammalia; Didelphimorphia; Didelphidae. The record is from RefSeq and is a predicted model, not a curated record.